RNAcentral lists this long non-coding RNA (1435 nucleotides) under Parus major (Great Tit). RNAcentral's name for it is "lncRNA (ENSPMJG00000005014.1)". Lineage: Eukaryota; Metazoa; Chordata; Aves; Passeriformes; Paridae. The record is from RNAcentral.
CUCGCUCCCCGGAGCCGGUCGGAGCGGCUCUGCCGCCUGCAGCCCCGCCGCUCCCUCCCGCGCUGGCGGCGGGCGCAGGGGGCUCGGACCCUGCCAAAGGCCAGAGGUAGAUUGACCGGGCGGCUUCCAGCAGCAGCGGCCGGGGAGACAGCUGCCGCGAGGGUUCACCUGCCCGCUCUCCGUUUCCUCUUCCUCGUCCUCACCCGGCCCCACCGGAGCCCCGCACAGCCGUUUGAAGACAGAGAUCAGAAAAGGAUGGACCGAGAUGGAUGUGGUGAAAAGGGUACCAGUAGAAUGACAGGCUCUGGAAGAUUGGAACUUCCCAAGCCAAUUAAACUUGAAGCAAAUAUGGGGAUGGAUAUCAUCAAAGUCUAUAGCUCAUUUAAACAAUGCAGAUAUGUCUUUAAAAAAAAUCAUUCUAUGCUGUGGAUAUGAAAGAAGAAAUGAAAUCUUUGUCAUAAUAGUCCUGAUUGCCUGACCCGUGAUUACUUCAUGCCACAUCUGCACCUUUGUUAAGAUGUAGCAGCUAAUCCAGGAAAACAUUUCCAGGCAUAUGAAUGAUGAGAAAAUAAUCAGAAGCAGUCAGCACGGAUUCACAAAGGAGGAAGUCGUGCUUGAUCAACCUGAUAGCCUACAGUAAAAGAGCUGGCCUGCUGGAUGAGGGGAGCGUGCAGACUGUCAAUUUGGACUUCAGUAAGGCCUUUGACACUGUCUCACAUAAGAUCCUCCAAGACAGGCAUUUGUAUGGCUUAGGUGAGCAGACAGUGAGCUGGACUGAAAACUGCUCAAAUGGGCAGACCCAAAUGCUGAUGAUUGGUGCCACAACUAGCUGGAUACCGGUGACUAGCAGCGUACCCCAGGUGUCAACACUUACUCCUUCAACAAUCUUCAUUAAUGACCUGGAUGAUGAGGCAGAGUGCAUAAUCAGGAAUUUUUCAGAGAAUAUAAAACCAGGAUGAGAGGCUGAUAUCAGAGAGUCAUGUUGCCAUCACAGGGACAUCAACAGCCUUAAGAAAUGGGAUGACAGGAACCUAAUGAAAUUCAGCAAGGGCAAAUGCCAAAUCCUGCACUUGGGGAGAAAAAAACUGAAAAAUGCUAGGUACUGCCCAGCUGGAGAACAGCCUGAGAGAAUAGGACCUGGGGGUCCUGGGGGACACCAAGCUGAACAUAAGACAGCAGUGUGCCUUUGUGGCAAAGAAGGAGAAUGAUGUCCUAGGCUGCAUUAGGAGUACUGCCAGCAUAUGGGAGAUGAUCCUGCUCCUUCACUCAGAGCUGGUGCGGAUAUCCCUGGAGUACUUUGUCCAGCUCUGCACUCGCUCGGUACAGUCAUGAGCACAUUGCAGAGAAUCCAUUCUUCAGUGGACCCUUCAAUGGAAGGGUCAUUAGGAUAACUGAGGGACUGGAUCACCUUUGCUAUGAGGAAUGGCUGAGGGAG